RNAcentral lists this ribosomal RNA (206 nucleotides) under uncultured bacterium. RNAcentral's name for it is "partial 16S ribosomal RNA". It matches the Rfam family "Bacterial small subunit ribosomal RNA", at positions 568 to 775 of the family's 1533-position model. The record is from RNAcentral.
AGCGCAGGUGGUUUAUUAAGUCUGGUGUAAAAGGCAGUGGCUCAACCAUUGUAUGCAUUGGAAACUGGUAGACUUGAGUGCAGGAGAGGAGAGUGGAAUUCCAUGUGUAGCGGUGAAGUGCGUAGAUAUAUGGAGGAACACCGGUGGCGAAAGCGGCUCUCUGGCCUGUAACUGACACUGAGGCUCGAAAGCGUGGGAGCAAACCA